Non-coding RNA from Arachis ipaensis, 1219 nucleotides. The record is from RefSeq and is a predicted model, not a curated record. NCBI's taxonomy places the organism in Eukaryota, Viridiplantae, Streptophyta, Magnoliopsida, Fabales, Fabaceae.
AGAGUUUUAGAAGUUUUUUGUAACAACUUAGGCCAAAAAAUCAGUAAUGAGAAAAUUAGAAUCUUUUUCUCAGAUAAUGUGAAAAAUACAGUUAGAAAAGAAAUCAGCGAGGCUCUACAAUUCUUAAGGACUAAUGAUCUCAAAAAAUAAUUUGGCGUGCCUCUCUUACACUCUAGAAUCAAUAAGGAUACAUACAAAGAGGUUAUUGAUAAGUUGAAUAGAAGACUCAAUAAUUGGAAGGUCUUGUGUCUAUCCUUUGUUGGGAGAACAAUUCUGAUAAAAUUUGUCUUUUCUUCUAUCCUACUUAUACUAUACAAACUGCUAUUUUACCUGUUGCUAUUUGUGAUAUGAUUCAUCGUAAAUACAAGAAUUUUUUCUAGAAAAAAAUACAACAAACAAAGAAGAUUCAUUUGCUUAAUCAGAACAUUGUCUCGAAACUGAAAGCUACACGAGAUCUAAGGAUCAUACAUGAAAAUAAACUCAACCAUGCUUUCAUGAUGAAGAUAGGAUGGGACUUGAUGAAAAAAAGGAAUAACAUGUGGGUGAGGGUUCUGAAGUCAAAAUACAAAUAUGAGACAAACAUUAUUCCUAACAUUAAUGGAAGAAAGAAGGACUCUAAUAUUUAGAAGGGAGUCUGCUCGGCCUGGAACGAUGUGGAGAAGAGUAUGAUAUGGCAUAUAUGAAAUGAUGAAUAGAUUAAGUUUUGGGAGCACUUUAGGUGAUUGAGAUGUGAGGAAAUUGAAGGAGUCAGGAGUGGCUAUUGGAUCAGUUAGUUAACAUAGUCAACAGCUUGUCAACCCCGUCUCCUUGGAAUAGCCCAGACAACAUUGCAUGGAGUCUAUCCUUGGGUUGGACUUUCAACUUGAAAACUGCCUACCAAUCACUCAUGGACGCACGCAUGCCUCAGGAUCAACUUUUCAAACUUGCUUGGAGCUGGAAAAUCCCGGAGAAAAUCAGAUUAUUCAUUUGCUAACUGCACAAGAAGCCCUUCUUACCUACGCGGAAAGGAAAAGAAGACAUUUAGUAGAUUCCUCUCAAUGCCUGAGAUGUAAUUUAAGCGACAAAAUUUCCUUUCAUACACUUCACGACUAUCCUUUUGCUAGGAUAAUCUGGCAAGGUUUGCACAAUCGAAUCCACAUUGGAGAUUUCUUCAUUUUGAAUAAUCAAGAUUGACUCAUUACUAAUCUCUCUAGGAGGGAUGAAUGGUGUGUCUUUUUGG